Molecule: ribosomal RNA, 1404 nt
Filed under: uncultured bacterium
Lineage: Bacteria
Description: partial 16S ribosomal RNA
Rfam family: Bacterial small subunit ribosomal RNA
Source: RNAcentral
AGAGUUUGAUCCUGGCUCAGGAUGAACGCUAGCGGCAGGCUUAACACAUGCAAGUCGAGGGGCAGCGGGGAGGAAGCUUGCUUUCUCCGCCGGCGACCGGCGCACGGGUGAGUAACACGUAUGCAACCUGCCCCUGUCAGGGGGACAACCCGCCGAAAGGCGGGCUAAACCCGCGUACAUGCCACCGGGGCAUCCCGGAGGCAGGAAAGGCUUCGGCCGGACAGGGAUGGGCAUGCGGCGCAUUAGGCAGUAGGCGGGGUAACGGCCCACCUAACCGACGAUGCGUAGGGGUUCUGAGAGGAAGGUCCCCCACACUGGUACUGAGACACGGACCAGACUCCUACGGGAGGCAGCAGUGAGGAAUAUUGGUCAAUGGUCGGGAGACUGAACCAGCCAAGCCGCGUGAGGGAGGAAGGUACAGAGUAUCGUAAACCUCUUUUGUCAGGGAACAAAGGCGGGGACGUGUCCCCGGAUGAGUGUACCUGAAGAAAAAGCAUCGGCUAACUCCGUGCCAGCAGCCGCGGUAAUACGGAGGAUGCGAGCGUUAUCCGGAUUUAUUGGGUUUAAAGGGUGCGCAGGCGGUCUGUUAAGUCAGCGGUCAAAGCCCGGGGCUCAACCCCGGCCCGCCGUUGAAACUGGCAGUCUCGAGUUGGAGAGAAGUAUGCGGAAUGCGCGGUGUAGCGGUGAAAUGCAUAGAUAUCGCGCAGAACUCCGAUUGCGAAGGCAGCAUGCCGGCUCCACACUGACGCUGAGGCACGAAAGCGUGGGUAUCGAACAGGAUUAGAUACCCUGGUAGUCCACGCAGUAAACGAUGAAUGCUGGCUGUCCGGGGGGAUUGACCCCUGGGUGGCGAAGCGAAAGCGAUAAGCAUUCCACCUGGGGAGUACGCCGGCAACGGUGAAACUCAAAGGAAUUGACGGGGGCCCGCACAAGCGGAGGAACAUGUGGUUUAAUUCGAUGAUACGCGAGGAACCUUACCCGGGCUCAAACGGGGAGUGACUCAGGCAGAGACGCCUGUUUCCCACGGGACACUCCCCGAGGUGCUGCAUGGUUGUCGUCAGCUCGUGCCGUGAGGCGUCGGCUUAAGUGCCAUAACGAGCGCAACCCCCGCGUGCAGUUGCUAACAGAUAACGCUGAGGACUCUGCACGGACUGCCGGCGCAAGCCGCGAGGAAGGCGGGGAUGACGUCAAAUCAGCACGGCCCUUACGUCCGGGGCGACACACGUGUUACAAUGGGUGGUACAGCGGGAAGCCAGGCGGCGACGCCGAGCGGAACCCGAAAUCCACUCUCAGUUCGGAUCGGAGUCUGCAACCCGACUCCGUGAAGCUGGAUUCGCUAGUAAUCGCGCAUCAGCCAUGGCGCGGUGAAUACGUCCCCGGGCCUUGCACACACCGCCCGUCAAG